UAAAAUAAAAUGUCCCCUUCGUUACUGAUGUGGCCUUCAAUCUGUGUACAAUAGGUUUGCUAAUUCUUUAUCUGAGUUCAUCGGAUUUGGCAUUCAUCACAGGCGCAGUGGGACAACCUUAGGCCUCCUUUGCCACAGCAAGGAGGAAGACCACAGCGGAACUUCUGGAGCUGUCAGAUUCUCCAAAAGAGGACAGAAGAGAGGGGAGGAGAGAGGUAGGGAUCAGGGAUGCUGAACAACCUGCAGUGCACCUGUGCCACGAUGAAUCUUCACACUCCCUCAUUCCUCUUAGAGAAACUCGGGAAGCUGACAUGCCUCCGUGUGGAAACAAGGGGAGCAGGGAAUAAAGAUUCCCACCUCUCCCGUCAGUAAA
Molecule: long non-coding RNA, 373 nt
Organism: Cercocebus atys (sooty mangabey)
Lineage: Eukaryota; Metazoa; Chordata; Mammalia; Primates; Cercopithecidae
Exons: 2
Source: RefSeq, a predicted model, not a curated record